RNAcentral lists this long non-coding RNA (446 nucleotides) under Struthio camelus australis. RNAcentral's name for it is "lncRNA (ENSSCUG00000008879.1)". The record is from RNAcentral. Lineage: Eukaryota; Metazoa; Chordata; Aves; Struthioniformes; Struthionidae.
CAACAUUCUCACUUCACCCUUGGGAAGGCAAUAAUAUCCCUAGUCAUUUGGAGUUCAUUCAAGUCAUCUUGCACCAGUUGCUUGAAUUUCAGCACAACGUCGAGCAACACCUUGCUGCCACAGAGCAAUAUCACAUCGACUGCCACAUUGACUGCCAGAAAUGGACGUGAAACACCAUCACCUUUCCAGAAUUGCAUAAGAAAAGUUAAGGGCUAGAAGAAAGGUUAUGGAGCUUGAUCAAGGAGCCCUGCUGAAAGACAUGGAGCCCUGCCAUCAUCUACCACUGCCAGCUGCCUCCACCUGUGACCAGUGCAGGGGAAGGAAAACAACAGAAAGACAGCCACCUCUGAAGAGGCAUCAGCAAACCAGCAAAAUGUGUGUUGUGCGGAAGCCUUGGCCAAGGACUCCACAGUAAAAGUAAGUCCUAUAUGCCCAUACACCAUAGG